This 266-nucleotide ribosomal RNA is filed under the name uncultured prokaryote. RNAcentral's name for it is "partial 16S ribosomal RNA". It matches the Rfam family "Bacterial small subunit ribosomal RNA", at positions 524 to 788 of the family's 1533-position model. The record is from RNAcentral.
UACGUAGGUGGCAAGCGUUAUCCGGAAUUAUUGGGCGUAAAGAGCGCGCAGGUGGUUGAUUAAGUCUGAUGUGAAAGCCCACGGCUUAACCGUGGAGGGUCAUUGGAAACCGGUCGACUUGAGUGCAGAAGAGGGAAGUGGAAUUCCAUGUGUAGCGGUGAAAUGCGUAGAGAUAUGGAGGAACACCAGUGGCGAAGGCGGCUUCCUGGUCUGUAACUGACACUGAGGCGCGAAAGCGUGGGGAGCAAACAGGAUUAGAUACCCCU